RNA transcript from Erigeron canadensis, 2084 nucleotides. RefSeq lists it as uncharacterized. Lineage: Eukaryota; Viridiplantae; Streptophyta; Magnoliopsida; Asterales; Asteraceae. The record is from RefSeq and is a predicted model, not a curated record. The transcript has 4 exons.
AGUCCGAAUACUCCAGCUCCAUACUCUACCGACCUGGAAAAAUUGCCUAUAUGCAUUGAGACUUGAGUAGUAGACAAUUAUAUCAGAUUAUCAGGGAACUAAUAAUUACUUUGGGGCGAAAAAUAGCAAAUUCGGUAGCAAUGGUUUGGAUAAUUGGAAGGUCAAGAAGAUGCAUCCCAUUGGCUAAAACCCUAAUUUCUAAAACCAACCCACCACCCUCAUUUCGUCAUCUCCUUCUUCCCUCAAAUUCACUUUCCACAUCAUCAACAAAACCACUUAACAUUGACAUCAAGAAGAAGUCAUCACCAUUUGAAUCUAAUCUUGUUCGCAUGCUUACCGACGAGAUCGAUUUCGAGUCUGAUUACUCCCCUCCUCAUCAGCCUGACAAGAAGUUCAAUGCGUUUAUGGUGGAAGAUAGACCCGGAGAGCAGUUUGUUACUUUGCUGGGUAGAUCUACACUGGAUGAAAAUAUUAAAAUUGAAGCUACAAUGUUUGAUGGUUAUGCCACUGUAUCUCCCAACCUGAGGGGUGAAAAUGCUGAACCCAAUCCUCAACUUCAUAUAAGUUUGCUAAUUGAUAUAUCAAAAAGUGAAGGAAGCAACAUGCUGGAAUUUGUUUGUUCUGCUUUGCCAGAACGUUUGGAGAUUCAGAAGGUUUAUGCAAUUGGGCCUGAUGGAACACUAUCUCGGCCCUAUAUGGGUCCUGAUUUCAGGGGUUUGGACAGAAGGCUUCAGAAUGCACUUUAUGAGUUCCUGAAUGCAAGGGGAGUAAACAACGAGCUUUCUAUCUUCUUACAUCGUUAUGUGUGGAACAAGGAUAAACUCGAACAUUUACAACGCUUGAAGCUUCUCAAAUCUUACAUUGAGAGAUAAGUGUUCCCCCGUUUUCCUUAAUUGGUACAGCUGCUGCUUUCCUUGUGGAAAACUAUGCAUUACUAAAGCAGCUUUACAAUUGCAUCACAUGAUACAUAAUAGAUUAGACAGCGAAAAAUCCAGGUCUUAUCAGAAGUUUGUGAGAACGUUAUGACAAAAACUAUAAGAUCCCGAUAAAAGAAGCGUACAAUGAAAUUAUCCAAGCAAGAAACACACACAUAUAUGGCUCAUUACUCAUUAGUCUUCCAUUGUGACAAGAAAAUAGGUCAUGCUUAUGUGUCAAUUAUAUCUUGUUCAAUAAGGUAUAUUAGAUAUAUGGGGGAAGUGAAGGUGUGAGACAACACCACCCAACUUGGGUGUAAUUCCCCUCACGUUCAAUUUUUUUAAUAUAUCUUUAUACUUUUCUUUAAUUUUGUACAAAAUAGAUUAAAAAGUGUUGAUCUGAGAGUGGAUCACACCCAAGUUGGGUGGUGUUGUCUCAUAUCUUCACUUUUCUUUAGAUAUAUAUAUAGGGGUGGGUUAAAUAGGGGACAAGCAAUCAAAAAAGUACAAGGGGAUCAAUCUCCAGUUCUCCACCGUUGGAUCUAGAGAUCGGAUGAAUAAAUGACGCAUCUCCGGCGACAUCUCCGGCCAUCUUCAUCGGAUCUAAUCAUCAUUGAUUAUCUCCCGCGACAUCUACGGUCAUCUUCCUUUCCGGCAGCGGCGACGACAACAUCUCCGACAAUCAUCAGUUUCAUUUUCCGGUGGAUACGGUACGGGCAUUGCCCUCAUCCGUUCUCCGUUCUAAAGUGGUUGUCACCGGACGCAUAUGGGAAUUGUAUAGAUUUGAUGGCCGGCGAUCCAAGAGAUGGCGGCGGUUUGAUACGGUACAGGCGUAGCCCUUGCUGUCGGCGCCGUGGUGGUCGGAGAUGAUGAUGGUGGUGGCGGUGGUUGUCUCGUCGGAGAAUAAGGAAGGAGGAGGUGGUGACGGUCGCCAGAGAAGGAGGUGGUGGCGGCGGCUGCUGUUGUCUCGCUGGAGAAGAAGGAAGAAGAAGGAAGAUGCUUGAUCGGAUGGUUGCGAUGGAUCCCCUGGUACUUUUUUUUUUACCCCAUCCCCUAUAUAUAUACUUGUAUAUAUGUCAUACAACAGUAGCUUGCAGCCUUGCAAUACUCCGUAAGAUGUACCGUAUAUAUGGCAAUUUGCAAAAGUAAAACAUAAAUUUUUAUAGUUGA